Dermochelys coriacea (leatherback sea turtle) is the source of this 1293-nucleotide long non-coding RNA. RefSeq lists it as uncharacterized. The record is from RefSeq and is a predicted model, not a curated record. The transcript has 3 exons. Lineage: Eukaryota; Metazoa; Chordata; Testudines; Dermochelyidae.
CCCCCUGUCCCGGCCAGCAUGCAGCCCAGCCUGUGGGGAGCCGUGGUGGACCCUCCACCUACCCAGGGUGCGGGAAGGCUGAGAGCAGCCCCCAGCUCAUCUCCCCGCCCUGCUGAGGGCAGGUGGAGGGUCCAUGACUCCAUGCUGGCUCUCCAUACCUGCCUGCGCGGCUCUUCUCAACUAGGCUCCAGCUGGAGGGGGAAGGACACCUCGGAGACACAGCCCGGCCAAGACAUCAGGAUGCAUAACAGCUGUGAAGUCCAGAGGAUGAAAACUUUGAUUUUGAAGCAUGCACAACUUCGCCUAAUUGCCUCUAAUCCUCAUCAGGAGUAGUUAGCACUGUAGAAAGAAGGCGAUCUUUCCGUCUUUUUGAGCUUCCAUCUGAAAUCUCCCCAGUCAUCUAAGGAGCCUGGCAGAGUCUUCUGCUAUUCACCGGGAGACUGGGAGAAAGCAAUCCAGAGGAGCAGUAAUGCAGCACUUUUUGGGGGUGCAGAAACUUGCUGCCCACCACAGGGCCCUGGAUUGGUACCUGGUGGAGAGGGUGAGCCAAGAUUCUCCUACAACAUCUGGUUGGGGCUGAAGGUGAAAACCUACCUCAGAUACAGGGGAAUCUGGAUUGGAAGAUCAUAUAACUUGGAGGGCCAUGACUCUGGAACCUUGGCCUAGUGAGGCCUGGGACCCCUUGCCCGACAGCAGGGCUAUCCUUUAUUGGACUCUCUGUAUACCCUGAAAAGGGUGGACAUGAUUCAUGGCCUGGCCAGAGGUCUGAGUCACAGAAAGGUGCCAACUGUUGCAGGCUAGAGCAGCUGUCAACAGGGGUCACCAGGGAAGGAAGAGAGCCUGCUAUGCCCUGCCUGACCACUAGGCGAUGCCAGCAAUGAGUGAUCCCCUUCACAUGCAUGCUAGUUAGCUGAGUUGUGUUUACUGAGUACAGACUAUUUAUUUCUUAGUCCAGGAAUAUCCACAAUGUGGCUAGCUGUUGAUCAUGAAUGUUGGGUCUUGCAGUUGUUUUUUAUCACUGCAUAUGACCAGCAUUCAUAUCCAGCUUGUACUGUCUGAAACUUUAGCUUUGGGAUCAUCCAAAUGGACAUUGUGAUGCUUAGAACCAAAUUUUGUUGCAGUGAAUUGAUAGUAGGUAUAUUCAUAGGCUAUUUGUUAUAGGGGAAAAUGACAAAAGCUAUUCACUGACAACUUACUUUCCAUUUCUUUUUGUUGCACUGUUAUUAUGUAUUCUAGCAACUCAAAUAUUGAACAAAGUAAAUAAACCCUAUGGAAAUCCAUACAUCAAAAAUA